Molecule: long non-coding RNA, 237 nt
Organism: Gymnodraco acuticeps
Lineage: Eukaryota; Metazoa; Chordata; Actinopteri; Perciformes; Bathydraconidae
Exons: 3
Source: RefSeq, a predicted model, not a curated record
UUUUUAACCCAGAGGUUGCUUUAUUCGUUUUCCCACUUCUGAAUCAUUCUGGAACCAUCUUUUUCAAAACACAAGUAAUGUGAGGAUUUCACCAUGGACACGUUUGUCACAGAGACGUUGACUGCAUGGCAGCUUGAGAACUUGAUUGACACAUUUAAAGACCAGGAAGUUGAUGAGGAAAGUUUCUGCCUGUUGGAUGCCAUUGCCAUUGCCUCGCUAAUACCGAAAAUUGGACAC